This 386-nucleotide unclassified non-coding RNA is filed under the name fungal sp. Its description in RNAcentral is "partial internal transcribed spacer region". The stretch from base 1 to 46 matches the Rfam family "Eukaryotic small subunit ribosomal RNA", at positions 1786 to 1831 of the family's 1831-position model. The record is from RNAcentral. Lineage: Eukaryota; Fungi.
AAGUCGUAACAAGGUUUCCGUAGGUGAACCUGCGGAAGGAUCAUUAACACGUAUCCACGUAUCAACCAAUGAGAACCUGUUUUCCCGUCUCCCUGUGCAAAGAAUGAAUUGGAACCAGUUUGAGGGAGUGAUGGGACCGAAAGGUCGGCCUUCCUGGUAUACUUAUGUAAAUAGAAAUAUUUGCAUAGACAAUUGAAUUUUUGUUGCAGGCUAUUUCUUAUCGCUUUGAUCCCCAUCAUGAUCGUGGCGGUCGGGAAACUUUCACUAAAUUUACCUUUUUUGCUAGUUGACUUUUUAUAUGUGUUAUUUUGCGAAAGCAUGGUGGCACACGUUUAUUAAUUGAACGUUAAAAAAUACAACUCUUAGCAAUGGAUAUCUCGGUUCUC